CGGAAGGGAUAAACGCUGAAGGCAUCUAAGCGUGAAGCCCCCCUCAAGAUGAGAUGUCCCAUUCGAAAGAAGUAAACCCCCUUGAAGACGACGAGGUAGAUAGGGCAGGGGUGGAAGUGCGGCAACGCACGGAGCUGACUGCUACUAAUAGGGUGAGGGCUUGACCAACAA
This 171-nucleotide ribosomal RNA is filed under the name Blautia segnis. RNAcentral describes it as "partial 23S ribosomal RNA". It matches the Rfam family "Bacterial large subunit ribosomal RNA", at positions 2756 to 2925 of the family's 2925-position model. The record is from RNAcentral. Lineage: Bacteria; Bacillati; Bacillota; Clostridia; Lachnospirales; Lachnospiraceae.